UGGCAGGAUCCCAAAGUGAAGAAAAAAGUGAAGAAAAGCCCCCGGCCCAUCCAACAGCUGCAGCAGGUUGCUGUCCCUGGGUCCGUCACCAGCCUGGGCCCUGCGGACCACAUCAGGCCCAUUGCACACUGUUUAACAGCCGGAGCGUCCUUAACAGGAUUUACAUCUAACAGCAUGACGGGUUCUUUCCAACCAGGCCUCACCAAUUCUGUCCUCAGCUCACCUACGAUGAGAAAGCAGAGCAUCUGUGCUGUUUCCUGAUUGUAUAAAAUACUGGGAAAUGCUGCCACAGACUGGAAUCUCCAUCAGAUUGCCAGAUGUCCUGAAUAUCCAGAAUUCUGUCUUUGCCUUUCUCAUUUUACCUGGUAUCUGGGGGUAAAUGAGACUUAGAGCCUCACGGAGCAGACUGAUGGAUGGGGCUGCUGGUCCCUUCCUUUACGUUUGCCAUCCACGUUGCAUCACAGAAUUGCAGGGGUUGGAAGGGACCUCGAGAUCAUCAAGGCCCACCCCCCUGCUAAAGCAGGCUCCCCACAGUAGCUCUCACAGGGAGGCAUCCAGAUGCCCAGCAUGGAUUGAUUUCUGUCUGUGAAGAUUUCUUACUUGAGGCUCUUCCUUGGAUCUGCACUUUCCGGUCUGUACCAAGGCUCAGACAGUGCACGGACUUUGGGACAUAAUCCUGGUUUCUGGGGACUCAGCACUGAAAAUGCCUUUGUGCUGGAGGCAGCCUGCGUUUGAAGGUCAGGAGCAUCCAGGCCCCUUAUUUCAUCUGUACUGAGAACUUAAGCUCAUUCAAAACACUCUGCUCUCCUUGCUUUGCUCAAACCCAACCAGUAUGUUUUAGCAGGUGUAUUUACUUCUUAAACAUAUUUGUUUAGUCUAUAAUUUCAUCGUGCCCCUGGUAUUGCCUUGCUGCCAGUGACUCGCUGCUGGGAAGCAGAGGGAUGGAGAAUGGUCUCGUGUUGAAGUUACUAAGCUGAGGUGCUUCCAAGAAUGAAAAAAGGUGUUUGAACAAAUGUGUUUUCAUCUGACCUUCAGUAAAUCUUCUGACUUCAUUUUUCCUCCUGCAAAUUAGGCUGACAUGCUGACCCAGUCAGGCAGCACAAGUGGGAUCCAGGUCCUCCCGUUGCUGAAGGAAGCUCCCAGGAACGAGGCUGCAGGAUUAAGGAGGAAGUGGAGGUUUUAAUGAAGCAGACUCCAUUCUUUGGUGGGGUGAAGGGAGCUGUCUCGUGGUGCCCUCUCGAGGUGGAGAGCCGCUGGUUCAUUCACUGUUUAGAGCAGCUGGGAUGCGAACUGGAAGCGCAGCCCUUGCUGAAGAAGCUGAGAAAUCAGUUUGCUUUGGAAAAGAACCGUUGCAGUAACUCCACGCAAAGUUGGUGGGUUCUGGAUUCCAUUUAGAAGUGCACACUGAUCCCUCUGCCUCCAACUUUUUUGUGAAAGCCAAAGGUGUUUCUCCCCUGUGUGAGAGCUGAUCAAAGUUAAAGGCUGCCUGCUUCCAUGAGGGCAGGGACACACUUCCCACAGUGCGCUCAUUUCAUUGGAAGUCUAGGAUAUGUUUGGGUAAUAAGGGGAAACCUUGAUGCAUUAGGAAGGCCAGCCUCUGGCUUCAAGUUAGAGGGCCCCGUGCCUGUGGGAGAAAGCCUUGCAUGGCCUGGGAAGCUGAGCGGAGGGAUGCAAUCACUGCUGCUUUGUGAAGGACUACAAACUGCAGGCUUCCUGUUAACAGCAAUUAUCAGAUGAUUGGGUUGGAAACAUCUUUUGCCAUGCGACGGCAGAUUCUCCUUUCCAAAGGCCUCAUCUUAAAUCCAACAAGGAGUGAGGAUUAUCAGUGCCAUAAGUCCUUUAGAGUCAUUGAAUGCAUUACGUUUGUUUUGGACUGAGAUGGGUAGAAGCUGAGUGCUUUGGGGCAAGGACUCCAUCUGACAGAUGAGUAUGCUGUGGGUGCGUGCUGUUUUAUCACUAGGCUGCCGUUCUGCUGAGUGGGAUAAAUUUCACCUGCGUCCACUUUGCUGUCACCUUUUCACAGGAUCUUUCUGAGUCAUCCCAGGCUCCUCCCACCCGAUACGGGUUAGACACAGGAGGCAAUUGCUGGCUGUAUUUUGUCAAAGUCCUUUCAGACCUCCUGCCACACCAAAUUGUCCCAACAGCAGCACUCACUGGAAGUCUGUUGUGUUCAUUGGACCAACAUUGUUUCAGCUGCACCCUUCAGGCCAGAUAACCACAGAGGGCUUGAGAUGGCCUUGCUUUCAGAAUUAGGAGGCAGUGGAGGCUGUGGCUACCAGAGAAGGCAGCUCACACAGAUUAGGUGCAACAAAGUGGGCUGAUGAAUGCUGCACCUUAGCAAGUGGCCUUUUUUUCCUCCUCAUAGCAAGACAGCUGUGGUCUUCAGAGACACCUGGGGAACAAGAUUUCCUGAAGGGUUUUUCUUUUUUGGUCUGAUUUUCUUCUGCUUUUACUAUAGAAGGCAGACUUCAUGAACUACAGCACCUCCUCUGUCCAUCUUUUAUGUGCAGCUUGGUUUUGGAGGUUGGAAGGUUUUUCAUCCAUUGAUUUUGUGCUCAUCGUGGAUAUGUUUUAAAAAUACUCUUAAAAAAAAAAAAAGUCCCUACUUCUCAUGGAUAAAUUUUGAUGGAGAUGGUGGGAAAUAAAUGUAAACAACUGCUGAAUGACAUGUGGAAUCUGAUAGCACAAAUCCCCUCUGCAGAGCUGUAAAUUGACUCAAAGCUCCUGUUGUGUGGAAAAGAACUCUUGGGCCCAACGAGGGGUAAGAUGUUAAUAAAACCUUUGUUCACUGUUACAAUAGGGAGCAGCUAAGUGUGGUUUGGGGUUUCUGCCAAGUUAACCCUGACUUAUUCCCAUUGUCAGAAGUACUGCUAAGAAACCCUUUAAUGUGUUAUUAAGGGUGAAAUAUGAAAAAUAGUAUUUUUCAUUUCCAAUGCUCUGUUUAAAGCAGAAGUGUUCAUUGUAAGAACAUCCUUUAUUCCCUUUCCCCACUGCUACACUCAGUGCUUUAAAGAAAAUUCACAUUUUGUGUGGCACUAAUUUUCUCCUUGUUGGAAAAAAAGUUGCUUAUGUGGUCUGAAACUGCCACCAUCUUUAAUAUGGCCAGAGUCUUAUUUUCUUUAAGAGGAAAGUGCAGGUGUUCUGAGCCCCUGAACACAUGCUAACCUGGCUUACUUGAUUGUUCCUUUGCCUGUGGCCUGUUAGUCGCUGCCCAGCCAUGGUCUCUUGCUGUUCUCAGCUCCUUAGGUCAGGAUGCAUGUGCAGUGCAUUCAGAUCCAUGCACGGGUUUGCAAUGGUAAUUCAAAUAAUAAUCAAGUUGUGAAAAAUAAGACAGUAUGCAUUUCAACAAGUUCAAUUUUUAUUUCUCCAGUGAAGAAAGGUGAGAGAAAGAAAGCUUCUGUCUCCAGUCUUGCCUUUUAUUUGCAACUGCGCUGCUAGGGAUUCAGAGGCUGUAGAAGGCAGCAUUUCGAUGUAUCUCCACUAGAGGCCAAGCGUGGUGUGAUGACACCUGGUGUCAUCUUGGCAACCAGGGAAAAAAUAAAGGAGGUGGAAGGUCUAAGCUGGGCAUUCUGGUGGAGUCAAGGUGUCUUGGGAUCUGAGUGCACAGAGCUCCAGCCAUACGUUUAAAAGCAGCCUGGUGUCACAGCCACAUUCCUUCCAGCCCUCAUACCUUUCCUUGCCCUCUGUGCCACCCACUCAUCUGAGGAAAGGUGGCAUCUAACCAAAACACACUUUGGGUGCUUUCAAUUAUAAAUCUUUACUCCAUUCUCAAAAUGUUUCCACUUGUUUUCUUGGCAGGACCUUGAGGAUCUCUCUUGAGAGUUCCGUUCACGUAGAUAUGCACAAAAGGAAUAGUUUAUCUCCAGCUCCUGCUGACUUCCAUGAAUAAUUUGUUGUAAAAGCUAAGUUGGACUUCUGCAGUCUUGAGUAACUUUGAAGUACCAGUUUCUAAUAUUCCAGCCACAGACCUAAGCAGCCUUUCUACUUUUAGAGGCCAAAGCGGCCUCUCUGAUCUCCACUUAUCUGUAACCACCUUGGAAAUUCCCACUCCUUUUCCCUCCUUUUUGGUUCCCCAUAAAACCAAGGGCUCCUCACUGGCAGAACUUCCCUUCUGAAUUAAAACUUAAACAAAGAUUUGAUGGAACAAAGAUUUGAUGGGUCUUUACUGUUUCUUCUUCAUCUCUCAAAGUGCAUGCCAGGAAAUACUGUGCUGACAUAGGAAGGUGGGCAGCUGUUUCACAGGGUGUAUUCAUACACCCACUCACUGAAGGCAAACAGAAUUGCUUAUCUGAGUAAUGCCACACAUGUGCCUGAGUGAUUGCAAAGGACUGAAAGGAGUUGGGAGUAGAAAUAAUAGCACUGCUUCAUCUCUCACAGAGCAGCGCCAACAAAAUAAUGAAGCUGCAUGAAUAAAGAACCAACAUAAUAAUCGGGCUGCCAGCAUUUUUGGAAAAUUAGCACUUCUUCCAUAACAGUAACGGCUGCUGGGAAAAUGGUACAAAAUAUAACUGUCAGGUUAAGCACACCUUAAUCAACAUGCGCCGAGUCCCACUGAUGUGUCCUCAAAACUGUUACUUAAGUACUUGUUAAAGCCAAUUAAAUAAACAAAAUUUUACAGCCUAAUAGCAUAAACCACAUAAAUAACAUAAAAGAGCCAUAAUGGCUGAAUGGGUGAGUGUUUAGCCCUUCCUGAUUUAAAACAGUGAAGUGAAAAAUGUUGCAGCCCUUGAAGGUGAUUUUGAAGACGAGGAAGUGACUGUGCUACACAAACAGCAAUCAGAGACAAUUAAGAGAACUGGGACAAGUGCCUCAUUCUCUCCACAGACUGCAUGGGAAAUUGCACUUUACAUUUCAGUCUCGUUGCAUUUAAAAUAAGGCCCCCAGCUAUGUCAUUUUUCAAGUCCAACUCAAAUCAAAAGAUAUUGCUUAAAAUCUUCCUAUUACUCCAGAAGUGAAAAGAAUGAUUGUCUAUGCUGAUGAGCCCAGAAGAUUGUCUUGGAAAGACUUUGGCAGUUUUGUCUCCCAGUCAUUAUAAUGUUAUUUCUGCUCCUGAAGAAGACUGACAGAGCCUGAAUGCCACAAUAAGUACUGGGGCAGUUUAGGGUAGCUGCAGAUUUCAUGUUGUUUCCCUGCCAGCAGAGAAACUGUGCUGUGCUGUGCUGUGCGUCUGUUUUCUUUUAGAGCUUCAUCUGAUGAAGAAUCUUCUACUGCAUAGAAACAAAACAACAGAAAAUAAAGGCAAGCUAAAAACAGCCCGUAAAAAAAUGGAAAGAAUGCAAAUAGGGAAUUUUGGCAAUAAUGCAAUUAGACAUGUCUGUAUAUAAUUAUAACCUGUAUAAAUGUAACCCUAUCCAUAGACAGGUCCCUAGCACACACAGCCCUUGGGCAGCACCUGCUCAAAACCUUUCUGGUAAGCAUGGAAAGAUUUCAGUACAAAAUGGAGAGGAGUUCUGAAGCGGUCAGGUUGCCUCGCUUUGGCAGUCAUUGUUUUGUGAAGACAGGAGCGCACUGAGCUUUCAGAGCUCAUACAGCUCCUCUGAUUUGUCUUAAAUUGCGAUGCCUAGAAAUGAGCACCUCAGCUUUAAAGGUGCUUAAAGGCAGAUGUAAGUGACCAGCUUUCCCAUGGUGCAAACCAUAGAGCCAUCUAGGAGGUAAAGGACCUGUGGGGUCAUCCAGUCAAACUAGCAGCCUGACCUACCAGGUCCCAUUGCUAUGCCGUGUCCAGCAGUGCCACAUCCACUCUGCUGCCUCCUUCAGCAGCCCGUUCCAAAGCUUAACCACCUGCUCUGUGAAGAAAAUACUCUUGAUGUCCAAUCUAAACUUCCCUUGGUGCGACUGGAGGCUGUUUCCUCACAUCCUGUCACGUUACCUGGGAAGAGACCAACACCCUCCUUGCUGCAAACUCCUUUCAGACAGCUCUAGAGCACGAUGAGGCCUCCCCUCAGCCUCCUCUUCUCCAGAAUGAGCAGCCCCAGUUCCUUCAGCUGCUCUGUCUUUUGGAUUUGGAGACAUAAGGAGCAGCAGAGUACGAGUAUCAUUAAUAUGUUUAUUUUUUAAAGUUGUUUUUUUUCCUAAUGGAAAAGGCUCUAAAAACAAAUUUUAAUUAAAAGGACAGUUAAUGCCAAAUAUAAGAAAUUGUUAAUUUUAAAAAAGUCAAUUACAAGAUUUCUUCACUCAGAUACAAUCAACUGCAUACACUGGGUAGUCUUAUAAAACAAGAAAACAAGAACUUAAAUCAAUUAUUUUCUGAUGAAAGAUGUAACUUGUACUUUUUUCUGUGUAACAAUUGAGUAAGAGAGAAAUUAUGGUUGCAGUGAUGACCUGGUGCUCGCUCCCUCUGUCCAAUGGGUAAGCUACCUCAAUUCCUGAAAAAAGAGUAAUGCCCUCUUGGUCUCUGAGGACUUCAGGGCAAAUAAGGUUCUUGAAACUAAGAUGGGUUUGAGAAGGAAGCUACCUGUAAAUUCUAACAAACCCAGCAACACAGCGGAGUGUCAGAAUUCGAGUCCAUCUGAAUCAGCAGUCAUACAUGGAACUGUGCAAAAAAAAGAGAAAUGCUGCAAGCCACAAGUCCUGCUCCCCAAAGCAUCUCCUGGUGCCAAGACUCACGGUGGACUUCCUAGCAGAAACUUCAUCCGUUUCAGUGGGACUUCUUUGGAGCAUUCAAUGAACGAUGGCAAAGUUGAGUCCUGAACUGUUGCUUUAAAAAAGCUUUAGGAAAAAUAUACUUAAAGGCAAAUGCUGCUCUCAAUAAAAUCAAUGGGAGUUUUGUGACUUAAAUUGUAUGUUAUACAAUAAUAAAACUUGUCUUACAUUUUCAGGUACUGCAGAUGCCUAACUACUAAUCUAAGGAAUACAUUGAUGCACUUAAAGAUAUACAUGUAUAAAACUGCAGUGCUUGUCAUGUUAUAUUCACUGGUGACUGCAGUUCUGCCAAUGACUCUGUGUCAUUUUCCAAAAGCUGAAGACCAUCGGUAGCAUAACACCAAGCUGAGGUCUCUCUAGCUCUCCUCUUGGAGCAAUGCUGUCACGUUAGAGGGACUUGUAGCAAAUGCUUGCAGUUGCUGAGACUGUCAUCCAACUGCACUCUGCUUUGUGCCCAGGAAAAGGAUGGGGCCGGCUGAAGUGCUGGCACGACGCCAUGCGGACAGAUGGACAGAUUGGUGAGCAACGCGGGGACCGAGCAGGAGCAGCCAGUGUGGAUUCUGAAGGCAGCGCUCCCAGCUGGCAGACACCAAACAGCCGGCCUGCAUUUGUUAAAAACAAUUUCUGUUUUCGGAAACGUUGCGGUUUGUUUGGUUCUGGGUGACGUAACGCACCAAACACAACAGGGAGAGGAAGGGCUAUUGUUAAUUGAUGUUGGUAGAGUUGGCUUGAGCUGUACGAAAGGAAGGAAAUGAAGAGUGGGCAUUUCUUCUGGGCCCUGCAGAGAGUGAGAGAGAAAUCUCUGCACGGAUUCCGAAGCUGGAACUUAUCAGAAACUCACACUUGAGUUUUUUUUCUCCAAAGAGGAUCACAGUCAAGUAGGGGCACUGUGAAACAGCUCCUGUCCUGGCGUGAGGGUAAUGUUUACAGGAUACACUUGGGCUCUGCCUUAUUGCAAGCCGGAAAACGGAAACUUGAAGGUGAAAAUAUGGAGCGAAUGUAUUUUGUUUCUGAAGAAAAUAUCUGAAGAGAGAUACUCUAAGUUUAAAUAUUUAGCUUUAAGCGGUUUCUUUCUUGGCACGCUGAGAUUUAGACAGUAAAAUCAAGUCUUUCAACCCCAUAUGGAAAUGGGGCAGGGAGCCUGAAUGGUUGGUCCUCACAUGUGGAAGCGUCCCUUUGUCUUACAACAUUUCAUCCCUUCUAUUGGCAAAAUCAAGUGUCUUCCUGGGCAGAGACUUUAUCCUGGCCACAAUGUUCUCUCUUCUAAUAGUCAGCCUAAUCUGCACGUCAAGCCAUAACCUGUAAUAAAUACCAGCAUGGUACAGAUUUGUUUACUAAACUAAAGUUCAUAGAGAAGAAAUAUGUUUCUGUUGGUGCACUUGUUGUCCUUCUCCCAGACUGCGGUACUUGUUGAUCUGUGCUGAGAUGGCACGCAGCCGCACUUUACGGGCUUCCACAGAUUAUGCUUACAAGCUUAAUACCAAUUAUAUGCCUACAGUACAUUAAAUAAAACAACUGCAUUGAAAGAAUGUCAAAGGCAUGAGGCUGCCAGCCAAACAGUGGUUUAUACUUUAAAGUAAAACCCUCAUCUGCGUACUCCGGCAGCACCUCUGAACUACGUGACCAAGUGCUUCUGGUGCCGUUUUAGGACAAGGCUUUAGUACAUUCCUUCCAUCUUCUGCCUUCCCCAUGUAAAGGUGACAUGCACGGUGCCUACGUGGUGGCUUUGUCGCAUUCACGAGGUGUGUCUAAUUUGGAACAUCACAGGUCUGAGACUGUGGCUGUCAGUGCAGACAUUAUCUAACUGUUGGUCUCAUCUUGGCUUGCAAAGAUCAAGAGCCGACCAUUGUGCACCACAGCAGAGAGAAACAAAACAUUACCAUGACCCCGGCUCUAAGCCAGCCAUGUUACAAAGGGGUGAAUCUGGGUUUAAGUCUUCCUUGUCUUGUUUAAGGUCACCGAUUCUCCCUAAAGAAGCAAAACAAAACACACGUGCAAUAAUUAAAAGAAUUAACACUGGACUUAGUUUGUGCCUGCAAACCAGGAUUCCUGCUAAGUGGAAAUUUGCCAGAUGCUCUCCAACACCAGACACAAAGAAGAGGCUUUUUCUAACUUAAACCUGAGUUUUGCUGUGGGAUCAAAGCUCACAAUUCUGCCUGUUACCGGUUUAUUUCAGAGCGUCAAUGCUUGCACUACAGGUUCUAUCUCAGAGUUACUUGGAAGAAGCUGUAGAAAAUCUUUUUUCUCUCAGGCUGCCAGGCUUUUAUUUAGUGGAGAAAGUAACACAAACAAUAAAAUGCUGGAAGUGCCAGUGGGCUCAGUAAAGAAGAUUGAAGGGUUUAUAUGUCUUUUUCUUCUUUGUCCUUUCUUUUUCUUUCUUUCUUUCUUUUUUUAAUGGUCCAAUUAUGUACCACGUAGCAGCAACUGGGCUAACAACAGCCAUAUGAUGGAAUAGCUCGUAAUCCGGUUGUGGGUCUAGCUCCACGAGACAGACUCCAAGUAGAUGAGUUUUAAAUCUCCUUAGAAUUAAGAAGGGUUUGGCAACCAAAUUAAUUGUUUUGGAGAAAUCCUCCUUUAUGGAUUGUGAAGAGGAUAAAAAGGGAAAAAACAUGUCAUCUGUAGUGGUUAGUCAGAUGUUCUUUUGGAGUUACAGCGAUUUCCUCUCUAAUUCCUCUUCUUGUUGACAUUCCCCUUAAAAGAAUAAUGAGUGCUGUGUGAGUUGCCUUAGUGCUGCUCGUCGCUGUGUACGUUACGAAAUCUUUGCAUUAAGCCACCCAAAUGGAUUGAAUCACAUCGCAAGGCAGGCAUUAAAAACAAUUGCACUCGACUGCGAGCGCGCAUGAAAGCAAAGUAUAACUGAUACACUGUGCAAGUGCUGAUCAGUGCUGGUGCACUGUGCAGCAGAUUGCUUCAGAGAGGUGCUUGGGCCCAGACAUCUGAGAGCACUGGUUCAGCAGGACUGGGUUAUUUUAGUCUUUGGAUCUUUAAUAUUGAUGUACUUACCCUUUUUCCAGCGAGGCUGUGAUGCUUUGGAACAAGGCAUUGCAUGUAUAAUUAAUACCGCGUUUAAAUAACGGGAGGCAAUUAAACAAUCACUGUGCAAUAGCCUCCCAGGUGUAUUUCUUUAGCAUACAUUUUGUAGCUAUGUGGCCUGUUCUCACAGUGGCUGUGUUACUUAAUUAGCCCAUGCUUUUAAGGUGUUUUGGCAAAAACAGAGGUGCAAUAACCAAGAUAUUGUUAUUUCACAGGUGGCUUAGAAGGAGCUGCAUUAAGGCGGCUGGUACUGACAGUCCUUUAAUACAGAAAGCCAGGAGAUGGUUCUGCACGUGGUAAAUUAAACAGCGAAAUAUACCAAUCUGAACGUGAUUUCUCUCAAGCUAAACCACCCCACGUUCAUUUGCUUCGGCUUUAAGCCCUUCCAUUCUAGUAUUCUCUGGCCCCGGUUACAGAAUUGCAGCUUGCUUUUCACCUAUCUUCCAACAGUCUAACAUAGAUGUCUGGGUCCAGUCCAUUGUUCCAAUUGUAUAUAGUUUAAAAAGCUCUGCAGUAUUUUACUCUUUCCAUUAUAUCUUGGCUUCCCCGAGCGCUCUGCUCGCUGCAUUUUGCUUGUACUGGCUCUGUUUUCUAAACCCAUUUGUGCCUUUUUUUCUGUACACACUUGUUCAUUGGGGAGCUUAAAUUGACUUCUCUCCAUUCUGUUUCCUUAACUAAAAACGCACCAUUAAGGUUGAUUGAAGUCUUUUGAAAACACUUCAUAAAAAAUGAAAGGCCAUGAGAAAUUAGGCUACCAGUGUUUGCAAAUACCUGUUUUCAGCCAAAUUGAUGGGAAGGAAUAAGAACUGAAAUCUAAAAAUGCUACCGAUAUAUAUUUGUUUGCUACUUAGUUUUAUGGGAAUGGAAAUAGAAUGUGUAAAACACGGUGAGGAAUAAAAUAUUGAGACACAAACAAAACACCCUGCUUUUGUCAUGGAAAGCCUUUUCCCAAAAAGCCUAAAGCAGGCCCCAGACAGAGAACGUGCCAGCAUUAAUUCUUACAGAAUCGCUUUAUUUUCAAGUGCUCCUCUUUGGAGAAGGCUGAAAACUGUUUCUAAGAACAACAUUGGAGCCGUGCGAUAACGUGUUUAUCAGCAAUGGGAGUUCUUACGGAGUGCUUUCCAAAUGGGAGAGAACACAAGGCUGAUCAGAUCGGCAAAACUUGGAAUCUCCU
Long non-coding RNA from Tympanuchus pallidicinctus (lesser prairie-chicken), 10849 nucleotides. RefSeq lists it as uncharacterized. The record is from RefSeq and is a predicted model, not a curated record. Lineage: Eukaryota; Metazoa; Chordata; Aves; Galliformes; Phasianidae. The transcript is spliced from 4 exons.